GACGAACGCUGGCGGCGUGCUUAACACAUGCAAGUCGUACGAUGACCCGGCUCUUCGGCGCUGGUGAUUAGUGGCGAACGGGUGAGUAACACGUGGGUGACCUGCCCUGCACUCUGGGAUAAGCCCGGGAAACUGGGUCUAAUACUGGAUACGACCAGUGGCCGCAUGGUCUGCUGGUGGAAAGCCCUUCGGGGUGGUGUGGGAUGGGCCCGCGGCCUAUCAGCUUGUUGGUGGGGUGAUGGCCUACCAAGGCGACGACGGGUAGCCGGCCUGAGAGGGUGUCCGGCCACACUGGGACUGAGACACGGCCCAGACUCCUACGGGAGGCAGCAGUGGGGAAUCUUGCACAAUGGGCGAAAGCCUGAUGCAGCGACGCCGCGUGAGGGAUGACGGCCUUCGGGUUGUAAACCUCUUUCGGCAGGGAACAAGCCUGGGGGGUUUCUUCUGGGUGAGGGUACCUGCGGAAGAAGCACCGGCUAACUACGUG
Molecule: ribosomal RNA, 487 nt
Filed under: uncultured bacterium
Lineage: Bacteria
Description: partial 16S ribosomal RNA
Rfam family: Bacterial small subunit ribosomal RNA
Source: RNAcentral